This 107-nucleotide ribosomal RNA is filed under the name Burkholderiales bacterium. The record is from RNAcentral. Lineage: Bacteria; Pseudomonadati; Pseudomonadota; Betaproteobacteria; Burkholderiales.
CCUGGUGGCCAUAUCGGUGGGGUCACACCCGUUCCCAUUCCGAACACGGACGUUAAGCCCACCUGAGCCGAUGAUACUCGCAAGGGGAAAGUAGGUCGCUGCCAGGA